AUUGAACGCUGGCGGCAUGCCUUACACAUGCAAGUCGAACGGUAACAGGUUAAGCUGACGAGUGGCGAACGGGUGAGUAAUGUAUCGGAACGUGCCCAGUCGUGGGGGAUAACUGCUCGAAAGAGCAGCUAAUACCGCAUACGACCUGAGGGUGAAAGCGGGGGAUCGCAAGACCUCACGCGAUUGGAGCGGCCGAUAUCAGAUUAGGUAGUUGGUGAGGUAAAGGCUCACCAAGCCGACGAUCUGUAGCUGGUCUGAGAGGACGACCAGCCACACUGGGACUGAGACAGGGCCCAGACUCCUACGGGAGGCAGCAGUGGGGAAUUUUGGACAAUGGGCGCAAGCCUGAUCCAGCCAUGCCGCGUGCGGGAAGAAGGCCUUCGGGUUGUAAACCGCUUUUGUCAGGGAAGAAAAGGUUCUGGCUAAUACCUGGGACUCAUGACGGUACCUGAAGAAUAAGCACCGGCUAACUACGUG
This 477-nucleotide ribosomal RNA is filed under the name uncultured bacterium. RNAcentral describes it as "partial 16S ribosomal RNA". It matches the Rfam family "Bacterial small subunit ribosomal RNA", at positions 30 to 507 of the family's 1533-position model. The record is from RNAcentral.